This 467-nucleotide ribosomal RNA is filed under the name uncultured bacterium. RNAcentral's name for it is "partial 16S ribosomal RNA". It matches the Rfam family "Bacterial small subunit ribosomal RNA", at positions 28 to 507 of the family's 1533-position model. The record is from RNAcentral.
GACGAACGCUGGCGGCGUGCUUAACACAUGCAAGUCGAACGGAAAGGCCCUGCUUUUGUGGGGUGCUCGAGUGGCGAACGGGUGAGUAACACGUGAGUAACCUGCCCUUGACUUUGGGAUAACUUCAGGAAACUGGGGCUAAUACCGGAUAGGAGCUCCUGCUGCAUGGUGGGGGUUGGAAAGUUCCGGCGGUUGGGGAUGGACUCGCGGCUUAGCAGCUUGUUGGUGGGGUAGUGGCUUACCAAGGCUUUGACGGGUAGCCGGCCUGAGAGGGUGACCGGCCACAUUGGGACUGGGAUACGGCCCAGACUCCUACGUGAGGCAGCAGUGGGAAUAUUGCACAAUGGGCGGAAGCCUGAUGCAGCAACGCCGCGUGCGGGAUGACGGCCUUCGGGUUGUGAACCGCUUUCGCCUGUGACGAAGCGUGAGUGACGGUAAUGGGUAAAGAAGCACCGGCUAACUACGUG